UACGGAGGAUCCGAGCGUUAUCCGGAUUUAUUGGGUUUAAAGGGUGCGCAGGCGGAAGAUUAAGUCGGUGGUGAAAUUUUGCAGCUCAACUGUAAAAGUGCCAUUGAUACUGGUUUUCUUGAGUGUAGAUGAAGUAGGCGGAAUUUGUGGUGUAGCGGUGAAAUGCAUAGAUAUCACGAGGAACUCCGAUUGCGCAGGCAGCUUACUAAACUACUACUGACGCUCAGGCACGAAGGCGUGGGGAUCAAACAGGAUUAGAUA
This 261-nucleotide ribosomal RNA is filed under the name uncultured prokaryote. RNAcentral's name for it is "partial 16S ribosomal RNA". It matches the Rfam family "Bacterial small subunit ribosomal RNA", at positions 524 to 784 of the family's 1533-position model. The record is from RNAcentral.